Molecule: non-coding RNA, 95 nt
Organism: Peniophora sp. CONT
Lineage: Eukaryota; Fungi; Basidiomycota; Agaricomycetes; Russulales; Peniophoraceae
Source: the annotation of a GenBank genome assembly
CCUUCGAUAGCUCAGUUGGCAAGAGCGCAAGAUGAAUGUUAAAGAUAUUGUAUGCUUCAGUCUUGAGGUCGUCGGUUCGAUACCGGCUCGAAGGA